RNAcentral lists this ribosomal RNA (327 nucleotides) under Physcomitrium patens. RNAcentral describes it as "eukaryotic LSU rRNA". It matches the Rfam family "Eukaryotic large subunit ribosomal RNA", at positions 1 to 328 of the family's 3401-position model. The record is from RNAcentral. Lineage: Eukaryota; Viridiplantae; Streptophyta; Bryopsida; Funariales; Funariaceae.
CAGACCUCUGAUCAGGAAAGACUACCCGCUGAGUUUAAGCAUAUCACUAAGCGGAGGAGAAGAAACUAACCAGGAUUUCCCUAGUAACGGCGAGCGAACCGGAAAGAGCCCAGCUUGAAAAUCGUUCGCACCUCGAAUUGUAGUCUGGAGAAGCGUCCUCUGCAGCGUGUCGGCCCCAAGUUCCCUGGAAUGGGAUGCCCAAGAGGGUGACAGCCCGUCGAGGCCGGUUUUUUAUUGCUGCUCCACGAGGCGCGAUCUGCGAGUCGGGCUGUUUGGGAAUGCAGCCCUAAGUGGGAGGUAAAUUCCUUCUAAGGCUAAAUAUUGGCA